GGGGGGGGGGGGGGGUUGGUGGUGUUAAUUUGGUAAAUGGAAGCAAUGACAAAAAAAAUUAAGUGGGUUGUGAAGUGGAUUAGUCGUGCAGAUGGCUUUAAAUUUUUUGAUUAAGUGACCUUUGUCUGAACCUAAAGUUUUAGUUUCCAAUGUAUAACAGAUUGGGACUGAACUGGUAAAGUGUUAAGAAACAGAGUGAUGCAGUAUGGGAAGCUUAAAGUUUUUUUUAAGAAUUUUAAUUUUAAACAUAUCCCCUUCUUAUGUGAAUGUGGUAUAUGAGAUACUAUUCAAGGUUCUAUCUCUGUCAAUUUUUUUUAUACCAAAUGUUGGGGAAAGCUUUGAAGUUUGAACUGAUGAGGUUCAAUUUUUGGAAUUCAUUUCCUUGUUUAAUGUGGAAUUGAUAACAAAGCUAUUUUAAGUUUCAAUAAUCUUGAUACUAAUUGGCUUUUGCUGGAGCUUUAUGAGGCCAAUGGAUUUUAGUUUCAAAUAGCAUAUCCCUUGAUUGCAAAAGGUAGGGGAUGAUGUAUGGAGUAAGAAUCAGGGCUCUAAUAGGAAGGCACGUAGAACAUAGGGUACGCUAAAAGGAAGGAUAUUGAACAAAAAGAUUAAGGGAGAGUUUUUGGAUUUGACAUACACUGGGCAAUGAAGGCAGUUAUUUCUUCAGGGAUGAGUUUUGGAAAUUUCUUUGAACAAAAAUCAAGCAAUUUUUGUGUAUCCAGGUUUGUAUGAUGCCUACGUUCAUGCAGGAGACAUGGAGUGUUUAAGACUGCCAGUCAUGCUAUCAUGAUAAUCUUACAAUUGUUUUUUUAAAUCAAAUUUAGUGGGUUAUCUGAUUUGCUUCUGGUGUAUAUUAUUGAUACAUUGAAGUUUGUUGUUUUGGCAAACACCAUGGCAGGUUUUAAAUUUUUUGGGUAUCAUCUAGAGAGAAGGCAAUUGUUAUUUAAGUUGAGAUUACUGUCUUAUGUCAAGUAACAGAAAAUGCAGAAGAAAAUCAUUGCUGAGAGUGAAAAUUCAAUGUUCAUAUACUGGGCUAAAAAGAUCUAUAUUUUAUGGGCAAAUUAUUAUCUCUUAAGGCAAGAUUCACUGAUCUCUUGUUUUCUCUCUAUUGAUUCCUAUUGGAUCUUAAUUAUGUACUACACUAAUUUUGAAGCACAUUUAUCUAAGAAGUUCUUUCCUGAAGACCAAAAGACAAAAAUAUAUUUGGCAUAAUGUAGUGGAUGCAUUUAAAAACAUAUUGUGCAGUUCUUCUUUUGUUGUUAACUGUGAGGAAAUUUAUUGGCUUGUGGUAGAUUUGUAUUGUUGACAGGACCUGUCUUGUCUUCCUUUCUCACCUGUAUGAUACUUUUUUCAUUUUGCAGAGUACGUGAUUCUCUUGCAUUUUGUUUUGCAGCUCAGGAAAUGUCAAUCAACAGG
Molecule: unclassified non-coding RNA, 1413 nt
Filed under: Hevea brasiliensis (rubber tree)
Lineage: Eukaryota; Viridiplantae; Streptophyta; Magnoliopsida; Malpighiales; Euphorbiaceae
Source: RNAcentral